GACAGAGGGUGCAAACGUUGUUCGGAAUUACUGGGCGUAAAGCGCGUGUAGGCGGCUUAGCAAGUCGGGCGUGAAAGCCCUCGGCUCAACCGAGGAAGUGCACCCGAAACUGCUGAGCUUGAGUGCCGGAGAGGAUGGCGGAAUACCCCAAGUAGAGGUGAAAUUCGUAGAUAUGGGGUGGAACACCGGUGGCGAAGGCGGCCAUCUGGACGGUAACUGACGCUGAGACGCGAAAGCGUGGGGAGCAAACAGG
Molecule: ribosomal RNA, 253 nt
Filed under: uncultured bacterium
Lineage: Bacteria
Description: partial 16S ribosomal RNA
Rfam family: Bacterial small subunit ribosomal RNA
Source: RNAcentral